AUUCGCAGCUGCCGCCGCCAGUGCCGGUGAGAAGAGUAGGGAGGCGCAGCGCGGGGAUGGACGGCGGCCUCGACGACGAGUGGGAAGCUAGCUUCCUCGACGAGGUGAUACGCGCGACGGAUGAGGCUGAGGCUGUCGUCUCCCGCAACCCUAACCCCACUCCCACCCCCGCGCCCGCUCCCAUCCCCACGUAUUAUCCCUUGGCCGCCGCCCCCGUCUCCUACCUCCCAGCCUCUUCGGUCUCCUACAUCCCUGCCGCUUCGCACCUCCGCUCCGCGAUCAGCUUCUCCCCUCCACGGGACCUCUCCCAGAGGCCGCCGCUCCCGCCGCCGACCGCUGCCACCAGCACCAGGGAUGCGCUGGCGACGGGGGCCGACGUCGGUCGCGACUUCUCUCCUCCGCCCCAGCUCUCCCAGCGCCCGGCGGCUGAUGAGGGCAGCCUCGUGGCCUUCGCGGCGUCGAGCUCAGCCAGCGACCGCCGCUUCAUUAGCACGGGCUGUGGAGAAGCGGGCGCGAAGAGGGAAGCGAGGGAGAUCGAGAGGCUCAAAAGAGAGCUGGACCGUGUCUCCAAGGAAAGGAAUGAAUUGGUGCGUACCUUGUGUUAUCAUUCGUGGCAGUAUUAUGUAUUUCUGUGGAUCCUUAGAACUGUACAUUUUUACCAAUCUUGUUUGAAUCUAAAUUGAGAUGAGGUCUGAUCUACUACUACUAAAACUGGUGCUGCUGACCAACUCUUUCUUUUACUGAAAAAUGAAUGCACCGCGCUGAAAAAGGACAGAACAAAGAAAGAUCUUCAAAUCAAAGCUAAAGAAGCGGAGAUUCAAAAUCUGAAAAAAGCUAAUGUCUCCAUGAAAGAUGUUUGCAGUGCAGGGAUGAACAUUGAUCAGUCCUUUCACGCCCCUGCAAAUGAGGCUUUGCAUACUGGGGUUUCUUCUAGGCGAACAGACAAGAUGAGUGGCAAAGAUAAGGAUGCCCAUUCAUUGCGAGACGAUCUCUAUCUAAAGCAAGGGCAUCAAACUGAUUUACUUGAGGCUUUAGAACUGAGGCGUCGCACCAUGAUUGAUAACGGAAUGAGUACAUCUGGAGUAGUGUCUCUGGAGGAGGACACCCAUUUUGAACCAAGAAACGCUACAUGCAAGGAAAUUAAGGCGAUAGGAGUCCAGACAGAUAACACAUCUGACAAUGAACAUCUUGACUGCAAGAAAUUAUUGGUUGAGCGUAUAUCUGGUAACCUACGUGCAAUGUGGGGCAUGUCACCUAACAGUUUAUCAAGCAGGAAUUUGAUAUCAAAGAUCAAUGUUUCUUGUUCAGAAGAAAUUUUGUCACUUCUCCAGCAUACGAGAUUGUCAGACAACUGUGAACCCUCUUCUCAAGCAAUCUCCUCCAUGAAUGAAGCUAUUUCCCAACUGUAUGACACGUUCAUUAAGAUGAAUAGUGGGAAGAUGUCAAUACAAACUUUCCUUGAAGCAUUGCUAAAUCUAUGUGCUUUUGAUGAUGCUGCUAUAGUCAGUAGAACUUUGAGGGUAUUCCUCAAAGUUUUACAGCACUUACUGCAACAUGGAGCCAAGUCUAGUGAAAGUGUACCCUCAGGAACAAUGUUUCUGUUGAACCAUAUGUUAACGUACUCAUGGAGAACAACCACAAAGACUGUUCGACCUUGUUGAGACCAGUGGAUGCAGAAGAUUCAUUGAGACUGCAUAAUAUGUUUCUUCCUUUUACUUUCUGGAGUUCACUUUUCACUGGCAUGCUUCAAAUUGGGGUCAAGUACUCACAAGAGACAAUUCGUACUGAUGCAUUAUCCAUAAUGAUUCUCAUUGUAAGGACAACAGAUCCCAUAGAGGAACGCCAGAAAUUCGGAUUUACUUCAGUAAUGACGAGAUUGCAUCUGCUAUUGCAGAAAGAGAACGGAUUGCUUGUUAAGAAGCAUUCUGUGCGUCUACUUUUCUUGCUUCUGAAUUGCCCAGUGAUGUUGAAGUUGCUGUGUAGUGGAGGCAAAGACGGCUCCAAACAGAUGGGAUCGGAAGCUUGUGAAAGUAAUAGAUCACAAGAAGUCAUAAGCUCAGUUCUUGUGGAUUUAUCUGAUUGUUUGACAUGUGGGGAAACUUGUUCUCUGGGGAUUGAGCUUUGCAGGCUCGUCAUCAUUCUGCUAGCUUAUAUAGCUUCCAGUGGCAAAUUGGGAUAUGAGGUGCUUUUAGUUCCAGUGAGUGCCCGUGGUGCCAGUUUUUUGGAGAUGAUAAUGGAAGUCCUUGCAUCGCAGAUGCAAUAUGAAACACGAGAGUUACUAAAAGAAAGAUGUUUGGUGAUGAGAGAAGCUCUUAUCCUGCUAAACCGGCUGGCAUCACACGCAAACUAUUCGAAACCAACCUUGGAAGUGCUGACGAGAAGCAAGUUAUGCGCGACCUGGACGAUCGAUGUUGCGAACCGGCUGCCCCAUACGUGGAUGGCAAAUGAUCUCGCGGAGCUGGCCCAGAAAUUCAGGUCGCGAGUGUAUGCUUUCAUAGAGGAGAAACCCUUGACAAGCGACGGUACCAAUCUGGGCGCUUCUAAUAAGAGAUGAGAUACCCAGGACUGGCGCAGCCUGAGGUAGCUUGGGUAGUAAUAUGGAAAGCAUAUUGCUAGCGGCUCGACAAGUUUAGUUUCUUUUUUUUCCCUUACUGACACUAGGGUUUUGUUUAGGAGUUAGACUGGCUUGGCUGGGGCGAGUCGCUAGCUUUUGCUGGCGGUGUACAGAGGCGAAUGCUUCCUCGCCAUUUUUGAGGGGGAGGGAGAAUGUAGUUGUACUACGGCAAGUCCUUGGGAACGUACAUCAUAAUUGUUGUUUGGACAUCAUCUCAUGGCUUUGGCAUUGACCAUCGCAGCUUUUUUGAAUUGAAAGUUUUAGUUUUUUUCUUACCAGGAUGAUCUGACUGUAAGCAAUUGAGGAUAUUGGAUGGGUUUGUUGGUUGUGAA
This is an RNA transcript of Zea mays, 2946 nucleotides long. It is a transcript of the gene named protein dimerizations, with no coding region annotated. NCBI's taxonomy places the organism in Eukaryota, Viridiplantae, Streptophyta, Magnoliopsida, Poales, Poaceae. The record is from RefSeq and is a predicted model, not a curated record. The transcript is spliced from 13 exons.